AGGACACACUCGGUACUGCUGGGUUUGGAAAGAACCAGUCAAAGCAGUGUUGGCUUCCUGAAUCAAACAACACCACAGUACCUAUUUCUCCUGAGAGAGGUAGUGUUACAGCUCUUGGAUGUGACAGUGGUAUCUGAUUGUUCCCAGCUGCCGAUCCUUUGUCAGCAGAUUCCAACGCAUGGGGUAUGCCAUUAGCAGUACAGUAGGUACAAAUUCCAGAUCCC
This 224-nucleotide long non-coding RNA is filed under the name Gallus gallus (chicken). Lineage: Eukaryota; Metazoa; Chordata; Aves; Galliformes; Phasianidae. The record is from RNAcentral.